UCAGUAACACGGAUUCGAUCCUU
RNAcentral lists this microRNA (23 nucleotides) under Eptatretus burgeri (inshore hagfish). Its description in RNAcentral is "Ebu-Mir-459_5p (mature (guide))". The record is from RNAcentral. Lineage: Eukaryota; Metazoa; Chordata; Myxini; Myxiniformes; Myxinidae.